RNAcentral lists this long non-coding RNA (205 nucleotides) under Elaeis guineensis (African oil palm). RNAcentral's name for it is "long non-coding RNA (EGUI_LNC028836)". The record is from RNAcentral. Lineage: Eukaryota; Viridiplantae; Streptophyta; Magnoliopsida; Arecales; Arecaceae.
UGUGGGUUUCAUCGGACCCAUCAUCGAAAGAGGUAAGGGGGCUCUCUCGAUGGUAUCCGGAGGUGGUGGAGGUCCCGACGGUAGCCCUCUAGGAGCGAUCGGCGAGGUGGGAGGCUGCAGUGGUGGUGGGAUGGAGUCUUGGUCGGUGGGUUUCACUGAAGUCGAUGGCACGCGAGUUUCGGCUCCGAGGAAUCAUCAAAGGAGA